UCCUUUUCUCACGAAGCUCCUUGUACCAUUUUUGGCUGGCCUUGAAUUCAUCUGACCUAACCCACACCUUGAACCUCUCCCAGUCCUCCUCCGAGAUCCCCUUCCAGUGCUUGUUAACCACUGUCUUCCAGUCUUUGCCAAUGAGCUUCCUGCAUUAUAUUGCCACGUGCUCUGGCCCCUUCCUCAUGACUUGGUGCAUCCGCCACUCCAAGCAUCUCCUGAUCUCAUCAUUGGCAGGCACGAACCGCUUCCAUGCCGCCUCGUAACAGUCCUGCUUCACAGCUUCCAGGACGUCGCUCUAUCUUUGAUAGAUCCGAGCGCGUACCCGUACGAUGGUGUUGCAUGUGUUCGAGAAUCUUUCUGCAGUCUCCACUGGUUCCUCCGGGUAGCUUUCUUUAUUGAGCUUGGUGACGACCCACGACUCCGUCGGCACCUUGUUCGCACCCCACUUGGACUUCAACUGAGUAGUCGACUCCGUAGCCUGAGACGUCGCACCCUGGGCUUCUUCCUCGUUAGCUGCUCCUUCAAGGAGCAGCUACUCCUCGGCUCCUUCAAGGAACAACUACUCCUCGACUCCUUCGCCAUGCUCGAAGCCAUCGCUCAUGGCAAUUUCUGAGCCCGAGGAAGAUGCCCCCGCUUCUUCUUCGACUUCUCCCUCCACAACCGGUGGCUGCUCAGGCACCUCUUCAACGCGAGCCUGAGGUUCCUAUCCAACACUUAUGAAAGUAAUUUAAAAAACAAAAAAAUUCGGCAUGACCUAUGCUGUAAAACAAGAAAAUUUCGGCAUGACCAUUGCUGUAAAACAACAAAUGAGUCUACCCGAAUUUUAUACCCGCAUAAAAAAUAUUCCCACCCACAUAUACCCCCUCGGCACAAUGGCCGGACCCUUCUCAACGACCCGACACGAUUGCCGGGCCCACAUUCCUCAUAUCAACCGACACGAUGGUCGGGAUCACAUGCAUGUAUCAAUCUUUCCACCAAGAGCAGCAACAACGAACAUAAACAGCAACCACAUAGCUAGAACUAAACAUUAAAAAGCCUAAGUAACUAGAACUAAACAUAAACAUCAAGAUUUAAACCUAAAUAGCUAGAACUAAACAUUAAAAAGCCUAAGUAACUAGAACUAAACAUAAACAACAAGAUUUAAACCCUAAAUAGCUAGAACUAAACAUUAAAAAGCCUAAUUAACUUCAAAAUUCAAAAAUUAUAAACCCUAACACUACACAACAAUCUAAUUGGACCCUAAUUAAACCUAAUUUAACCAUAAUUGAACCUAAUUUGACCCUAAUUAAACCUAAUUUAAUUAAUAGCAAGGGAGAGAGAGGCCAUACCGUCGCCGGAGUCGGGGCGGCGGCGGCGGGGGUCG
Molecule: long non-coding RNA, 1366 nt
Filed under: Brachypodium distachyon (stiff brome)
Lineage: Eukaryota; Viridiplantae; Streptophyta; Magnoliopsida; Poales; Poaceae
Description: long non-coding RNA (BDIS_LNC005462)
Source: RNAcentral